CCGCCUGUUUAUCAAAAACAUAGUUUUAUGAUUAUAUAUAAAAUAUUUUCUGCCCAAUGUAUUAAAAUAAAUGGCCGCAGUACCUUGACUGUGCUAAGGUAGCGUAAUCAAUUGGCUUUUAAUUGAAGUCUAGUAUGAAAGGGAUAAUGAAAUUUUUCUGUCUUAAAAACUUUAAUUAAAAUUUAUUUAAAAGGUGAAAAUACCUUUUUAAAAAAUAAAGACGAGAAGACCCUAUGAAUUUUUAUUUUUUUUUUGUUGGGGCGACAAUUUAACACUUUAAUCUUAAAUUAUAUAAAUAUAUCGAUUAUAUUAAUUUAAAAAAAAUUACCUUAGGGAUAACAGCAUUAUUGUUAAAACAGUUUGUGACCUCGAUGUUGGACUAGGAACUAUAAGGCUAGCCGUC
This 403-nucleotide ribosomal RNA is filed under the name Bathyomphalus contortus. RNAcentral describes it as "partial large subunit ribosomal RNA". The stretch from base 2 to 150 matches the Rfam family "Bacterial large subunit ribosomal RNA", at positions 1797 to 2007 of the family's 2925-position model. Lineage: Eukaryota; Metazoa; Mollusca; Gastropoda; Planorbidae. The record is from RNAcentral.